RNAcentral lists this ribosomal RNA (465 nucleotides) under uncultured bacterium. Its description in RNAcentral is "partial 16S ribosomal RNA". It matches the Rfam family "Bacterial small subunit ribosomal RNA", at positions 28 to 507 of the family's 1533-position model. The record is from RNAcentral.
GAUGAACGCUGGCGGCGUGCUUAACACAUGCAAGUCGAACGGAAAGGCCCAAGCUUGCUUGGGUACUCGAGUGGCGAACGGGUGAGUAACACGUGGGUGAUCUGCCCUGCACUUCGGGAUAAGCCUGGGAAACUGGGUCUAAUACCGGAUAGGACCUCUUUUUGUUUGGUGUGGUGGAAAGUUUUUCGGUGUGGGAUUAGCUCGCGGCCUAUCAGCUUGUUGGUGGGGUAAUGGCCUACCAAGGCGUCGACGGGUAGCCGGCCUGAGAGGGUGUACGGGCACAAUGGGACUGAGAUACGGACCAGACGGCAACGGGAGGCAGCAGUGGGGAAUAUUGCACAAUGGGGGCAAGCCAGAUGAAGAGACGCCGGGAGGGGGAUGACGGGCUUCGGGUUGUAAACAACUAUCGCAGGAGACGAAGCGAAAGUGACGGUACCUGGAGAAGAAGCACCGGCUAACUACGUG